Molecule: ribosomal RNA, 253 nt
Filed under: uncultured bacterium
Lineage: Bacteria
Also listed under: 1 other name
Description: partial 16S ribosomal RNA
Rfam family: Bacterial small subunit ribosomal RNA
Source: RNAcentral
UACGUACCGUCCAAACGUUAUUCGGAAUUACUGGGCUUAAAGGGUAUGUAGGCGGCGCUGUUAGUCGGGUGUGAAAUCCCACGGCUCAACCGUGGAACUGCGCCCGAUACUGCAGUGCUUGAGGGAGACAGAGGUAAGCGGAACUGAUGGUGGAGCGGUGAAAUGCGUUGAUAUCAUCAGGAACACCGGUGGCGAAAGCGGCUUACUGGGUCUCUUCUGACGCUGAGAUACGAAAGCUAGGGGAGCGAAGGGG